This 390-nucleotide ribosomal RNA is filed under the name Triticum aestivum (bread wheat). RNAcentral describes it as "partial small subunit ribosomal RNA". The record is from RNAcentral. Lineage: Eukaryota; Viridiplantae; Streptophyta; Magnoliopsida; Poales; Poaceae.
AUGGCGCCAUCGACCAAGCUCUUCCUCCUACUCCUCGGCCUGAACUUGAUGGUCACCGUUGUGCAUGGUGGCUGCGGACCCCACUGCCCGACCCCGACCCCACCACCGCCUCAAUCGACCAACGGCGGCACAUGCCCGAUCGACACGCUAAAGCUGCGCGUGUGCGCCACGUGCUGAACCUGCUGAAGCUAGGGCUCGGCGUGCCGCACAGCGAGACGUGCUGCCCGCUGCUGGCCGGUCUGGCCGACCUUUGAUGCCGUUGUGUGCCUCUGCACCGCCAUCAGGGCCAAGGUCCUCGGCGUCAUCAACCUCAACAUCCCCGUCGACCUCGUCCUCCUACUCAACCAGUGCCACAAGACCUGCCAGCCCCGCUUCACCUGCCCGCUCUGA